Molecule: transfer RNA, 91 nt
Filed under: Paraburkholderia sp. UYCP14C
Lineage: Bacteria; Pseudomonadati; Pseudomonadota; Betaproteobacteria; Burkholderiales; Burkholderiaceae
Description: Paraburkholderia sp. UYCPa14C tRNA-Ser
Rfam family: tRNA
About the family: Transfer RNA (tRNA) molecules are approximately 80 nucleotides in length. Their secondary structure includes four short double-helical elements and three loops (D, anti-codon, and T loops). Further hydrogen bonds mediate the characteristic L-shaped molecular structure. tRNAs have two regions of fundamental functional importance: the anti-codon, which is responsible for specific mRNA codon recognition, and the 3' end, to which the tRNAs corresponding amino acid is attached (by aminoacyl-tRNA synthetases). tRNAs cope with the degeneracy of the genetic code in two manners: having more than one tRNA (with a specific anti-codon) for a particular amino acid; and 'wobble' base-pairing, i.e. permitting non-standard base-pairing at the 3rd anti-codon position.
Source: RNAcentral
GGAGAGAUGGAUGAGCGGUUUAAGUCGCACGCCUGGAAAGCGUGUAUAGGUUAGUAGCCUAUCGGGGGUUCGAAUCCCCCUCUCUCCGCCA